RNAcentral lists this ribosomal RNA (254 nucleotides) under uncultured bacterium. RNAcentral describes it as "partial 16S ribosomal RNA". It matches the Rfam family "Bacterial small subunit ribosomal RNA", at positions 524 to 776 of the family's 1533-position model. The record is from RNAcentral.
UACGGGGGGAGCAAGCGUUGUUCGGAUUUACUGGGCGUAAAGGGCGCGUAGGCGGCCAGCACAAGUCAGUUGUGAAAUCUCCGAGCUUAACUCGGAAAGGUCAACUGAUACUGUGCGGCUAGAGUGCGGAAGGGGCAACUGGAAUUCUUGGUGUAGCGGUGAAAUGCGUAGAUAUCAAGAGGAACACCUGCGGCGAAGGCGGGUUGCUGGGCCGACACUGACGCUGAUGCGCGAAAGCUAGGGGAGCGAUCCGG